RNAcentral lists this ribosomal RNA (329 nucleotides) under uncultured fungus. RNAcentral describes it as "LSU rRNA". The record is from RNAcentral. Lineage: Eukaryota; Fungi.
CAGUCGUACCUGCGGGUAAUCAGCCUUUUGGGCAUGAUUCUGUGGAGCGUGAGGAGUUAAACGCCUUCAUGCCUGCAUAUUCGUGUACAUUGGGUGUACUUGCCUGUGUGGUUAGUUAACAUCAAUUUUGGUUAUCAUAAAAUGGUUGGGGGAAUGUAGCUUCGAUUUCGAUUAAAGUGUUAUAACCUUCGGCAGAUGUGAUGAUCGGGAUUGAGGAUUGCAACGGAUACCCUUCGGGGCUACCUGUCUGGUCUCUGAUCGUUGCUUUGGUGCCGAAAGCGUGCUUACGGUUAUCAAAGUCGAUGGUCAAUAGGUUAGAAUGGGUUAAA